Molecule: long non-coding RNA, 374 nt
Organism: Zophobas morio
Lineage: Eukaryota; Metazoa; Arthropoda; Insecta; Coleoptera; Tenebrionidae
Exons: 3
Source: RefSeq, a predicted model, not a curated record
UCAGUUCUCUAAACAGGUUUCUUUCUGUUUCCAGUUUCCCUUGGGUUUCGUGAAGUUGGAGGGUUAAUUCGCAGCUGUAAAACCAGAUAUCGGAAAUAUUCCUCGUUUUGUUAGUUUGCCUUUCCACCUUUACGAUGGCCCAAAGCGCACUGCAGCCAGCCCUUGGUGCCUUGCGAAACUUUAUACAAGCAAUAGCUGCUACGUUUACAAGCGGAUCGGAAGGAAUUCAGAGCAUAAAUAAUUUCUUAGCAGCUGUAUUCCGAUUUAUGCAGAAUCUCUUCGGAAGCAUGCAACAAGCUUUCAGGUUUUUAUUUUUCCCACUUUCGCUGAUUAACAAAAGGGAGGUUAAUUUCGACGAUUAUUGAUAAUCACGA